AUUGAACGCUGGCGGCAUGCUUUACACAUGCAAGUCGAACGGCAGCGCGGGCUUCGGCCUGGCGGCGAGUGGCGAACGGGUGAGUAAUACAUCGGAACGUGCCCAGUAGUGGGGGAUAGCUCGGCGAAAGCCGGAUUAAUACCGCAUACGACCUGAGGGUGAAAGCGGGGGAUCUUCGGACCUCGCGCUAUUGGAGCGGCCGAUGGCAGAUUAGCUAGUUGGUGGGGUAAAGGCCUACCAAGGCGACGAUCUGUAGCUGGUCUGAGAGGACGACCAGCCACGCUGGGACUGAGACACGGCCCAGACUCCUACGGGAGGCAGCAGCGGGGAAUUUUGGACAAUGGGCGAAAGCCUGAUCCAGCAAUGCCGCGUGUGUGAUGAAGGCCUUCGGGUUGUAAAGCACUUUUGGCGGGAACGAAAAGGACUGUGCCAAUACCACGGUUCGAUGACGGUACCCGCAGAAUAAGCACCGGCUAACUACGUG
This 484-nucleotide ribosomal RNA is filed under the name uncultured bacterium. RNAcentral's name for it is "partial 16S ribosomal RNA". It matches the Rfam family "Bacterial small subunit ribosomal RNA", at positions 29 to 507 of the family's 1533-position model. The record is from RNAcentral.